RNAcentral lists this ribosomal RNA (443 nucleotides) under uncultured bacterium. RNAcentral's name for it is "bacterial SSU rRNA". It matches the Rfam family "Bacterial small subunit ribosomal RNA", at positions 29 to 507 of the family's 1533-position model. The record is from RNAcentral.
AACGAACACUGGCGGCAGGCCUAACACAUGCAAGUCGAGCGAGAAGGUACCUUCGGGUACUGGAGAGCGGCGGACGGGUGAGUAACGCGUGGGAAUAUGCCUUUCGGUGGGGAUAACAGUUGGAAAACGACUGCUAAUACCGCAUACGCCCUUAGGGGGAAAGAUUUAUCGCCGAGAGAUUAGCCCGCGUUAGAUUAGGUAGUUGGUGAGGUAACGGCUCACCAAGCCGACGAUCUAUAGCUGGUCUGAGAGGAUGAUCAGCCACACUGGGACUGAGACACGGCCCAGACUCCUACGGGAGGCAGCAGUGGGGAAUAUUGCGCAAUGGAGGAAACUCUGACGCAGCCAUGCCGCGUGAGUGAAGAAGGCCUUCGGGUUGUAAAGCUCUUUCAACUGUGAGGAUGAUGACAGUAGCAGUAGAAGAAGCACCGGCUAAUUUCGUG